GACGAAGAACGCAGCGAAAUGCGAUACGUAAUGUGAAUUGCAAAUUCAGUGAAUCAUCGAGUCUUUGAACGCACAUUGCGCCCCCUGGUAUUCCGGGGGGCAUGCCUGUCCGAGCGUCAUUGCUGCCCUCAAGCACGGCUUGUGUGUUGGGCCCCGUCCUCCGAUCCCGGGGGACGGGCCCGAAAGGCAGCGGCGGCACCGCGUCCGGUCCUCGAGCGUAUGGGGCUUUGUCACCCGCUCUGUAGGCCCGGCCGGCGCUUGCCGAUCAACCCAAAUUUUUAUCCAGGUUGACCUCGGAUCAGGUAGGGAUACCCGCUGAACUUAAGCAUAUCAAUAAGCGGAGGA
RNAcentral lists this unclassified non-coding RNA (345 nucleotides) under soil metagenome. RNAcentral describes it as "partial contains 5.8S ribosomal RNA, internal transcribed spacer 2, and large subunit ribosomal RNA". The stretch from base 1 to 119 matches the Rfam family "5.8S ribosomal RNA", at positions 35 to 154 of the family's 154-position model. The record is from RNAcentral.